Molecule: unclassified non-coding RNA, 249 nt
Filed under: Hevea brasiliensis (rubber tree)
Lineage: Eukaryota; Viridiplantae; Streptophyta; Magnoliopsida; Malpighiales; Euphorbiaceae
Source: RNAcentral
CAAAAUUGAACUGACUAAUUGCUACUGAAGUAGACCAUAAAUACAUAAUAUAACAUUUUGCUCCUAAAAAUUAUGACCGUUUCUGGAAGUUCUCUACGCACCAGCAACAUAGCAAUCUAAAAGUUCAAGUAUAAGUAUGUGGCAGAGAGGUCAAGGAAAAGGAGAAACCUAUUGCGCCAAAUGCAUUGACUUCAUAGCAAAGCCAGGUGUACACUUUGCUAAGAUGCAGCACAAACUUUGUGAUUGAAG